GAGUUUGAUCAUGGCUCAGAACGAACGCUGGCGGCAGGCCUAACACAUGCAAGUCGAACGCCCUCUUUCGGGAGGGAGUGGCGCACGGGUGAGUAACGCGUGGGAAUCUGCCCUUUGGUUCGGAAUAACCCUGGGAAACUAGGGCUAACGCCGGAUAAGCCCGAGAGGGGAAAGUUUACGCCGAAGGAGGAGCCCGCGUCCGAUUAGCUAGUUGGUGAGGUAAGAGCUUACCAAGGCGACGAUCGGUAGCUGGUCUGAGAGGACGAUCAGCCACACUGGGACUGAGACACGGCCCAGACUCCUACGGGAGGCAGCAGUGGGGAAUAUUGGACAAUGGGCGCAAGCCUGAUCCAGCCAUGCCGCGUGAGUGAUGAAGGCCUUCGGUUGUAA
Molecule: ribosomal RNA, 390 nt
Filed under: uncultured Alphaproteobacteria bacterium
Lineage: Bacteria; Pseudomonadati; Pseudomonadota; Alphaproteobacteria
Description: bacterial SSU rRNA
Rfam family: Bacterial small subunit ribosomal RNA
Source: RNAcentral